UGGGUUGGAAAAGGAGGUGGAUGAUGAC
Molecule: non-coding RNA, 28 nt
Filed under: Homo sapiens (human)
Lineage: Eukaryota; Metazoa; Chordata; Mammalia; Primates; Hominidae
Source: RNAcentral